UACGGAGGGGGCUAGCGUUGUUCGGAAUUACUGGGCGUAAAGCGCGCGUAGGCGGACCUGCAAGUCGGGGGUGAAAGCCCGAGGCUCAACCUCGGAACUGCCUUCGAUACUGCGGGUCUCGAGUCCGGGAGAGGUGAGUGGAAUUCCUAGUGUAGAGGUGAAAUUCGUAGAUAUUAGGAAGAACACCGAUGGCGAAGGCAGCCCCCUGGGUCAAAACUGACGCUCAUGCACGAAAGCGUGGGGAGCAAACAGG
RNAcentral lists this ribosomal RNA (253 nucleotides) under uncultured bacterium. RNAcentral describes it as "partial 16S ribosomal RNA". It matches the Rfam family "Bacterial small subunit ribosomal RNA", at positions 524 to 776 of the family's 1533-position model. The record is from RNAcentral.